Molecule: ribosomal RNA, 399 nt
Filed under: uncultured bacterium
Lineage: Bacteria
Description: bacterial SSU rRNA
Rfam family: Bacterial small subunit ribosomal RNA
Source: RNAcentral
GAGCGCGUGUAGCAAUACACGAGCGGCAGACGGGAGAGUAACACGUGGGAACGUGCCCUUCGGUUCGGAACAACCCAGGGAAACUUGGGCUAAUACCGGAUACGUCCGUAAGGAGAAAGAUUUAUCGCCGAAGGAUCGGCCCGCGUCUGAUUAGCUAGUUGGUGAGGUAACGGCUCACCAAGGCGACGAUCAGUAGCUGGUCUGAGAGGAUGAUCAGCCUCACUGGGACUGAGACACGGCCCAGACUCCUACGGGAGGCAGCAGUGGGGAAUAUUGGACAAUGGGCGCAAGCCUGAUCCAGCCAUGCCGCGUGGGUGAUGAAGGCCCUAGGGUUGUAAAGCCCUUUCGGCGGGGAAGAUAAUGACGGUACCCGCAGAAGAAGCCCCGGCUAACUUCGUG